UACGGGGGGGGCAAGCGUUGUUCGGAAUUACUGGGCGUAAAGGGCUCGUAGGCGGCCAACUAAGUCGGACGUGAAAUCCCCAGGCUCAACCUGGGAACUGCGUCCGAUACUGGAUGGCUUGAAUCCGGGAGAGGGAUGCAGAAUUCCAGGUGUAGCGGUGAAAUGCGUAGAUAUCAGGAGGAACACCGGUGGCGAAGGCGCCACUCUGGGCCGGUACUGACGCUGAGGAGCGAAAGCGUGGGUAGCAAACAGG
This 253-nucleotide ribosomal RNA is filed under the name uncultured bacterium. RNAcentral's name for it is "partial 16S ribosomal RNA". It matches the Rfam family "Bacterial small subunit ribosomal RNA", at positions 524 to 776 of the family's 1533-position model. The record is from RNAcentral.